GGGAUUGCCCUAGUAACGGCGAGUGAAGCGGCAACAGCUCAAAUUUGAAAUCUGGCUCUUUCAGGGUCCGAGUUGUAAUUUGCAGAGGGCGCUUUGGCUUUGGCAGCGGUCCAAGUUCCUUGGAACAGGACGUCACAGAGGGUGAGAAUCCCGUACGUGGUCGCUAGCUAUUGCCGUGUAAAGCCCCUUCGACGAGUCGAGUUGUUUGGGAAUGCAGCUCUAAAUGGGAGGUAAAUUUCUUCUAAAGCUAAAUAUUGGCCAGAGACCGAUAGCGCACAAGUAGAGUGAUCGAAAGAUGAAAAGCACUUUGGAAAGAGAGUCAAACAGCACGUGAAAUUGUUGAAAGGGAAGCGCUUGCAGCCAGACUUGCUUGCAGUUGCUCAUCCGGGCUUUUGCCCGGUGCACUCUUCUGUAGGCAGGCCAGCAUCAGUUUGGGCGGUGGGAUAAAGGUCUCUGUCACGUACCUCUCUUCGGGGAGGCCUUAUAGGGGAGACGACAUACCACCAGCCUAGACUGAGGUCCGCGCAUCUGCUAGGAUGCUGGCGUAAUGGCUGUAAGCGGCCCGUCUUGAAACACGGACCAAGGAGUCUAACAUCUAUGCGAGUGUUUGGGUGUCAAGCCCGAGCGCGUAAUGAAAGUGAACGGAGGUGGGAACCCGCAAGGGUGCACCAUCGACCGAUCCUGAAGUUUUCGGAAGGAUUUGAGUAAGAGCAUGGCUGUUGGGACCCGAAAGAUGGUGAACUAUGCUUGAAUAGGGUGAAGCCAGAGGAAACUCUGGUGGAGGCUCGCAGCGG
Molecule: ribosomal RNA, 794 nt
Filed under: Paradendryphiella arenariae
Lineage: Eukaryota; Fungi; Ascomycota; Dothideomycetes; Pleosporales; Pleosporaceae
Also listed under: 1 other name
Description: eukaryotic LSU rRNA
Rfam family: Eukaryotic large subunit ribosomal RNA
Source: RNAcentral